UACAGAGGUCUCAAGCGUUGUUCGGAUUCAUUGGGCGUAAAGGGUGCGUAGGUGGCGCGCUAAGUCAGGUGUGAAAUUUCGGAGCUUAACUCCGAAACUGCAUUUGAUACUGGCGUGCUUGAGGACUGGAGAGGAGACUGGAAUUUACGGUGUAGCGGUGAAAUGCGUAGAUAUCGUAAGGAAGACCAGUGGCGAAGGCGGGUCUCUGGACAGUUCCUGACGCUGAAGCACGAAGGCCAGGGGAGCAAACGGG
RNAcentral lists this ribosomal RNA (253 nucleotides) under uncultured bacterium. RNAcentral describes it as "partial 16S ribosomal RNA". It matches the Rfam family "Bacterial small subunit ribosomal RNA", at positions 524 to 776 of the family's 1533-position model. The record is from RNAcentral.